UUACUCUGGCGUCAUUGCACUAACGUGUAAAUCUUUCGCCUUUUACUAAAGAUUUCCGUGCAAAGGAGCAAUUUAAUGAGUCUAAAUUCAAAUUUUUUCAAGCCCUACUUUGUAGGGUAA
Molecule: small nuclear RNA, 120 nt
Organism: Biomphalaria glabrata
Lineage: Eukaryota; Metazoa; Mollusca; Gastropoda; Planorbidae
Product: U5 spliceosomal RNA
Exons: 1
Source: RefSeq, a predicted model, not a curated record